AUGAAAGCCAUAGCUUGGAAUUGCCGAGGUAUGGGCCGGGGCCUCGGUAGCGAUCGAAUGUUGUUCCUGGCAAAUCUGAUCCGUUCUACGAAAGCUCAGGUAAUAUUUGUUUCAGAAAUCAAAUCUUCGAAGGUUCAUUCGGUUGAUCUUGUUAACAGGUUUGAUGUGGCUAACAGUUUUGUUGUUCCUUCUAGAGGUGCUUCAGGAGGGCUCUGGCUUAUGUGGAAUGAUGAUCUUAAAAUCUCUAUUCAUAGUUCCUCCUUUCACUUUAUCCUAGCCAAUGUAGUUCAUCUAGCCUCGGGGGUUCACUUUUGUUUGAUAUGUAUAUAUGGUGAUCCUUAUCAUAGGCAGACUAGUGCCAUUUGGAAUCAGGUUUCCACUUUUGUGUAUGAUAACCUCGGAAAACCCAUGAUCUGUAUGGGAGACCUUAAUGAUAUUUUGUAUGAUACAGAUGGCUGUAAUGGUAGUGUAAAUUAUUUUCGUAUGUCUGCUUUUCGUUCUAUUGUCAAAAACUGUGGUUUCUUUGACAUCGGUUUUAGUGGUCCUGCUUACACUUGGCGCAAUAGGUAG
RNAcentral lists this ribosomal RNA (570 nucleotides) under Triticum aestivum (bread wheat). Its description in RNAcentral is "partial small subunit ribosomal RNA". Lineage: Eukaryota; Viridiplantae; Streptophyta; Magnoliopsida; Poales; Poaceae. The record is from RNAcentral.